UUUUAAGUAUAAAUAUGUUCCAUGCAAUAUUAGGGACAUACUUAUACUUUAA
Molecule: microRNA precursor, 52 nt
Filed under: Camelus bactrianus (Bactrian camel)
Lineage: Eukaryota; Metazoa; Chordata; Mammalia; Artiodactyla; Camelidae
Also listed under: 2 other names
Description: mir-1302 microRNA precursor family
Rfam family: mir-1302 microRNA precursor family
Source: Rfam by way of RNAcentral